GACGAACGCUGGCGGCGUGCUUAACACAUGCAAGUCGAACGGGUCUGCCCUGUUUUUUGCGGGGUGGGUCAGUGGCGAACGGGUGAGUAACACGUGAGUAACCUGCCCCUCACUUCUGGAUAACCGCUUGAAAGGGUGGCUAAUACGGGGUGUUCUGGCUGUGCCGCAUGGUGUGGCUGGGAAAGAUUCACUUUUGUGGUGUUUUGGUGGGGGAUGGGCUCGCGGCCUAUCAGCUUGUUGGUGGGGUGAUGGCCUGCCAAGGCUUUGACGGGGAGCCGGCCUGAGAGGGUGGGCGGUCACACUGGGACUGAGCUACGGCCCAGACUCCUGCGGGAGGCAGCAGUGGGGGGUAUUGCACAAUGGGCGGAAGCCUGAUGCAGCGACGUCGCGUGAGGGAUGGAGGCCUUCGGGUUGUGAACCUCUUUCGCCGGUGAAGAAGGUCCUGCUCUUUGUGGUGGGGUUGACGGUAGCCGGGUCAUGAAGCGCCGGCUAACUACGUG
Molecule: ribosomal RNA, 500 nt
Filed under: uncultured bacterium
Lineage: Bacteria
Description: partial 16S ribosomal RNA
Rfam family: Bacterial small subunit ribosomal RNA
Source: RNAcentral